ACGGGAGGCAGCAGUAGGGAAUAUUGCACAAUGGGGGGAACCCUGAUGCAGCAACGCCACGUGUGGGAAGAAGCAUUUCGGUGUGUAAACCACUGUCGUGAGGGAAUAAGACCCGCCCCCGGGCGGGGUUGAAUGUACCUCGAAAGGAAGCACCGGCAAACUUCGUGCCAGCAGCCGCGGUAAUACGAGGGGCGCAAGCGUAGUUCGGAAUCACUGGGCGUAAAGGGAGCGUAGGCGGAAAAGCAAGCAGUCUGUACAAUCCCGGGGCCUAACCCCGGAUCUGCAGACUGGACUGUUUUUCUUGGAUAGUUCAGGGGCUGGCGGAAUUCCUGGUGUAGCGGUGGAAUGCGUAGAGAUCAGGAAGAACACCGAUGGCGAAGGCAGCCAGCUGGGGACUUAUCGACGCUGAGGCUCGAAAGUGCGGGUAGCAAACAGGAUUAGAUACCCUGGUA
Molecule: ribosomal RNA, 452 nt
Filed under: uncultured Fibrobacter sp.
Lineage: Bacteria; Pseudomonadati; Fibrobacterota; Fibrobacteria; Fibrobacterales; Fibrobacteraceae
Description: partial 16S ribosomal RNA
Rfam family: Bacterial small subunit ribosomal RNA
Source: RNAcentral